GAUGAACGCUAGCGACAGGCUUAACACAUGCAAGUCGAGGGGCAGCGAGGGCGUAGCAAUACGCCUGUCGGCGACCGGCGCACUGGUGAGUAACACGUAUGCGACCUGCCCCCUACAGGGGUAUAACCCGUAGAAAUGCGGACUAAUCCCCAUAGUCCUGGGUGCUGCAUGGCAUUCAGGGGAAAGGCCAGCCGGUAGGGGAUGGCAUGCGGCGCAUUAGCUAGUUGGCGGGGCAACGGCCCACCAAGGCGACGAUGCGUAGGGGUUCUGAGAGGAAGGUCCCCCACACUGGUACUGAGACACGGACCAGACUCCUACGGGAGGCAGCAGUGAGGAAUAUUGGUCAAUGGGCGCAGGCCUGAACCAGCCAAGUCGCGUGAGGGAAGACGGUCCUACGGAUUGUAAACCUCUUUUGUCGGGGAGUAACGUGCGGGACGGGUCCCGUAUUGAGUGUACCCGAAGAAAAAGCAUCGGCUAACUCCGUGCCAGCAGCCG
RNAcentral lists this ribosomal RNA (495 nucleotides) under uncultured bacterium. RNAcentral describes it as "bacterial SSU rRNA". It matches the Rfam family "Bacterial small subunit ribosomal RNA", at positions 28 to 517 of the family's 1533-position model. The record is from RNAcentral.